RNAcentral lists this ribosomal RNA (483 nucleotides) under Prevotella denticola. RNAcentral's name for it is "bacterial SSU rRNA". It matches the Rfam family "Bacterial small subunit ribosomal RNA", at positions 28 to 500 of the family's 1533-position model. Lineage: Bacteria; Pseudomonadati; Bacteroidota; Bacteroidia; Bacteroidales; Prevotellaceae. The record is from RNAcentral.
GAUGAACGCUGGCUACAGGCUUAACACAUGCAAGUCGAGGGGAAACGGCAUUGAGUGCUUGCACUGAAUGGACGUCGACCGGCGCACGGGUGAGUAACGCGUAUCCACCUUCCCGUUACUGCGGGAUAACCUGCCGAAAGGCAGACUAAUACCGCAUGUUCUUCGAUGACGGCAUCAGAUUCGAAGCAAAGACUCGUCGGUAACGGAGGGGGAUGCGUCUGAUUAGCUAGUUGGCGGGGCGACGGCCCACCAAGGCGACGAUCAGUAGGGGUUCUGAGAGGAAGGUCCCCCACAUUGGAACUGAGACACGGUCCAAACUCCUACGGGAGGCAGCAGUGAGGAAUAUUGGUCAAUGGGCGGAAGCCUGAACCAGCCAAGUAGCGUGCAGGAGGACGGCCCUAUGGGUUGUAAACUGCUUUUAUGCGGGGAUAAAGUGAGGGACGUGUCCCUUUUUGCAGGUACCGCAUGAAUAAGGACCGCUAC